GACGAACGCUGGCGGCGUGCUUAACACAUGCAAGUCGAACGGAAAGGCCCUGCUUUUGUGGGGUGCUCGAGUGGCGAACGGGUGAGUAACACGUGAGUAACCUGCCCUUGACUUUGGGAUAACUUCAGGAAACUGGGGCUAAUACCGGAUAGGAGCUCCUGCUGCAUGGUGGGGGUUGGAAAGUUUCGGCGGUUGGGGAUGGACUCGCGGCUUAUCAGCUUGUUGGUGGGGUAGUGGCUUACCAAGGCUUUGACGGGUAGCGGGCCUGAGAGGGUGACCGGCCAAAUUGGGACUGAGAUACGGCCCAGACCCCUACGGGAGGCAGCAGUGGGGAAUAUUGCACAAUGGGAGGAAGCAUGAUGCAGCAACGCCGCGUGCGGGAUAACGGCCUUCGCGUUGUAAACCGCUUUCGCCUGUGACGAAGCGUGAGUGACGGUACUGGGUAAAGAAGCACCGGCUAACUACGUG
RNAcentral lists this ribosomal RNA (468 nucleotides) under uncultured bacterium. RNAcentral describes it as "partial 16S ribosomal RNA". It matches the Rfam family "Bacterial small subunit ribosomal RNA", at positions 28 to 507 of the family's 1533-position model. The record is from RNAcentral.